This 377-nucleotide ribosomal RNA is filed under the name uncultured bacterium. Its description in RNAcentral is "bacterial SSU rRNA". It matches the Rfam family "Bacterial small subunit ribosomal RNA", at positions 521 to 896 of the family's 1533-position model. The record is from RNAcentral.
UAAGACGAACCAAGCAAACGUUGUUCGGAAUCACUGGGCUUAAAGGGCGCGUAGGCGGUCUCUCAAGUCCGGGGUGAAAUCUUUCGGCUCAACCGGAAAAUUGCCUUGGAUACUGUGAGGCUCGAGUGAGGUAGGGGUAACGGGAACAUCCGGUGGAGCGGUGAAAUGCGUUGAUAUCGGAUGGAACGCCGGUGGCGAAAGCGCGUUACUGGACCUUUUCUGACGCUGAGUGCGCGAAAGCUAGGGUAGCGAACGGGAUUAGAUACCCCGGUAGUCCUAGCCCUAAACGAUGAGCACUAGAUUGUGAGAGUGACAUGCUCCCACAAUCGAAGCAAAAGUGUUAAGUGCUCCGCCUGGGGAGUAUGGUCGCAAGGCUG